Molecule: ribosomal RNA, 604 nt
Filed under: uncultured eukaryote
Lineage: Eukaryota
Description: partial 18S ribosomal RNA
Rfam family: Eukaryotic small subunit ribosomal RNA
Source: RNAcentral
UAGUCAUAUGCUUGUCUAAAAGAUUAAACCAUGCAUGUCUAAGUAUAACUCAAUUGAUGAGAAGACUGCGAAUUUCUCCUUAAAUCAGCAAUCGUUUAUUUGAUCGUAACUUUAGAAUUAACUAAGGUGUAAUUGGAUAACUGCGGUAAUUCUGGAGCUAAUACAUGCUAAAAAGGCGCGCGUUGCGGAGCGAUCCGUGGCGCGCGUCUGUAUUUAUUAGAUUUACAAAACCAAUUUGUCGGGCAUUUAUUCCAAACAGCAGCGAUGCUGGUUUGCUCGGCGCUAACAAUCGAUUGGUGAUUCACAAUAACUUUUUCUCGGAUCGUGAGCGCAGCGAUGCGCGACGACGUUUCAUUCAAAUUUCUGAUUUAUCAUCUUGUAGUCAAGGUAGUGACUUGACUAGGAUACGACGAAUACGGGGAAUUAGAGUUUGGUUCCGGAGAAUCCGCCUGAGAAACGGCGAAUACAUCCAAGGAUGGCAGCAGGUGCGCAAAUUGCCCAAUUCGAAAACCGAGAGGCAGUGACAAUAAAUAACAAUGCAGAAUUUGUUAAAAGUUUUGCAAUUGCAAUGAGUACAAACUAAAUCCAUUAACGAGUAGCAAGU